AUGCGUUCGACUAGUACUUUGAAUCUCCAUAUGCUUAGUCCACGUGUUGAUUAAAUGAGAAAAAUAUUUUUGUUUUUUAACAGCAUUCUGCAGGUUGAUGAAUACUAAUGAAGCUGUGGGUGUCACUGAGCAGCUUCAUUUUAAAGUUACCCUGACUUACAUCUGCUGCAGUAAUUCUGAGAUUUGUGGUAAAUGUCGGUGUGGUGUAGCUUAAUGGAUUUUGGUCUGAUCAAUGAUGAAACCAAUCCCGAAGCUGAUAACCUGGAGAAAGGCAUGUACGGAUUCGGCUUCUGAGACAAGACUAAUGUGCAGAUUGAGGGGUUGCUGUCUGCCUGUUGAAAGAAGUCGGUGUGCUGUGACAUUUCGAAGGUGGAGACAUUUCUGACUAGUGCUGCGAGAUUUACUUGUCUGUCAUGAAAAAUCUGGUGAUUGGGAAAAUCUCCAUUUUAUGGAUGUGGGAAGAAAGUUCAAGAUGAAUUAUAUUUUUACAUUGAUUUUACAUAGAUUCUGAACCAGCAUCGAGUCUAGAUAAUGCAUUCCUAAGAGUCAAGGCAUUUCUGUUUGACCAUGACACUGCUGUAGAAUCAUAACCUGUUAACCCCAGUGUAUUACUUUCUACCUAUGAAACUAUUUUGAAAGGAAAAUUCUUUUCUAGUUAUCCAGCCUUGUAAUUAAAUAAUUUUGAAUAGCCUU
Dama dama (fallow deer) is the source of this 693-nucleotide long non-coding RNA. RefSeq lists it as uncharacterized. The record is from RefSeq and is a predicted model, not a curated record. Lineage: Eukaryota; Metazoa; Chordata; Mammalia; Artiodactyla; Cervidae. The transcript has 3 exons.